This 1157-nucleotide long non-coding RNA is filed under the name Capra hircus (goat). RNAcentral describes it as "lncRNA (ENSCHIG00010031677.1)". The record is from RNAcentral. Lineage: Eukaryota; Metazoa; Chordata; Mammalia; Artiodactyla; Bovidae.
GUUAGAGACUUGGGAUAUAAAAUGACACCUGUUUCUAGUAAAACUGAAUCGCCUUUUCUUUGGAGAAGUAUUAUGUUUAAUAACUGACUUCCUGUUGAUUCAAACAACAGUUUGCAAGCACUUGUACACAUCCAAUAAAAUAUUUCUGAACCUUGUGCUUGGUCAUCAGUCUGCUCUUUCCAUCUUCCAGCACGUGUGAAAACCUUACACGGCUCACACACUGACAGCUGCCCCCAGCAUGAUUCACCAUGACGCAGCAUUCUGUAAACAACACUAUACUGGUCUCCAUCCAGGGAAGUUUAGCCGUCUGGAGACUUCCUCGACGAAGGUCCUCUCCUCCGCUUUCCUAACCAACCUCUCCAAUUUCCAAUCGCUCUCCUAUCAAUUAAAGAGUAAGAGUCUCAUAGGCUAAGUCUCUCUUCACCCUCACUCAUCUCUGUAUUUACUACUCCUAUUUUCUACAGGAAGAUGAUGCAAACAGUUAUCAUUGCUGUUGGUAGAUAAGUAGGUCUUGAAUUCAUUUUGCACACAAGACCUGUUCUAUCUACCUUUUCUUUUAGGAGGCUAAAAGCAGAGUCAGCUUGACUUCAAGGACUCUAUUUUGUUAGUCUCCAGAAGAGCAUGACAAGUCCAGCUUUUAGAACACUGUCUUCUAGCAUGUCAAGACACUGAGGGAAUGGUCAUUGAUUGCUUUUAUAACUUAAAGCUUUAAGAGAUUUGAACUCUUACAUAUGCUUCCUUCACAGCAACCAAUGGCUAAUGAACCUAAAUGCAAGAUAACACUUGGUGAUUUGGAAAGAGUCCAUCAGUCAGGAUCUUUUCUGUCAAUUAGGAAGUCUCUUGCAAGGAGCAUUAACCAUGAGCAGGGCACAACUAUGCCCCAAGUCAGUAAAAUGCUCCCAAAUAUUUUAGAAAUGCUACUAAACAGUUCACGUCUUACUACUAAAGAGCUUCUUUUCUGCAAUUCCCCAAUCCCAGAAAAACACAUUAAGCCCAACUUACUAAUUGAUUGCCUUUUUCUUCAUUUUCCCCAGUUUGACAGAUUCAGGGUUUUUCUGCUCUAUUUCCACCUCACUCAAAUCCUGGUGGAAUUAAACUGGCAUUUAUGUGAGCUAUAUUUUUGUUAUCAUUGUGACCGUUAUAAUGCUAUGGCCUGA